AUGUCCCCGAGGCUGAGGCCGUGGGGCAAGGGUGAGGUAGGCAGGGUCAGGGAGGGCCCACCUCUGUCCCGGGGCUGGGCGGCCAGCUGGUGGUUGGUGGGUGUCCCGAGACAGGGCUGUGCCCUGCCAGCAGGGUUGCCCCGAUGGAGGCGUGCAUGUGGAAGCCGCGAGCCUGGAGAAUGGCUGUGCCAUUGGGUCUCCUGCUCUUGGCUUUGUACUCUUCAGCAGGCAGCCGCCAGGCCCGAAGGCCGGCUCCUUCCUGGAUGAGCAGGCGAGGAUGGCAGCGUUGUCUUUGGAGCCAGGGGACCAGUGGUGGAAGCCGAAGGCCAGGCCAGGCUGCGUGGGGCCGAGACCCCUCCUCUGGCGGUGGUGGCAGGAGAGAUCCCAAGGUGAGGCAUGGCCUCGGGCUGUCUUGGUUUGGGUCAUCGGGGCCAGUGUUUUCCAUGUCUUUAAAAUGUCCUAUGUAGAAUCCCCAGGUGACUAAUCGUCCCUUGAGAACUAAGGCAUGAACCUUUAUGCUGGUUAAUUGACAAUAGGGAUUUCACCAAAGGAAGAUACAAUCUCUUUUGGUACUACUUAGAUCAUCAGGGAUAUUCAAGUGUCUUGUACUCUGAUUUUCGUUAAUCAAGUACUUCUUGUUAUGAAGGAAACAUUAAAUUGAUCCCAAAACAUGAACAUGGGAAGUGACAUUGGCCUAAUGUACCCGUGAUGAUUAGAACAUGGGUCAGGUGCCAGUGGUGAGUCAUGAAUGACGCAUGAUAAGGGUCUGAAGCCCUGUGGCCCCACACAGUCCAUCCUCUUUGGCUCUGUUUAGGCCAUCCUGUGGACAGGUGUUAGGAACACAGAAAGUUCGGGUUCUUACAGCGUAUACGUUUUCAAAGUAUUCAUACAGCAAGGAGAACACCAUGAAAGUUAUAGGUAAUAGUUGAAGAGCAUAUGUUGUUGUCUAAUUAUGAGCAAAUAUGUUGAAGAAAGAAAUAUUAAUCAAAAUUGCCAACAGCAGCGCUCCUUAUGAGAUAAGUCAGUCAAACGGUCACCUUUGUGGCCAAUUAUCAGAGAGACUUGAAGAGUUGUAAGUGUUAGAAAUUUCCUGUAUUGUUGUGAGUCAGUUUCAAGUUUGAGGUAGUUCUUUCAGUCAAGAGACAAAACAGUCUCUAAAGCAUGGCUAUGCUUUACAUUGUUAAGUAACAGGGCAGAUGAAAUGUAGAGGCAAGACGCGACGGUGAUCCCUUUUCUUUUCUUUCUCUUUUUCAUCAUUGGCUGUGCUUUGUGCUGUCAAACGUGCUCACGCUGGAGCGGAUUGAGCGUGAUCCCACGGUGACGUCACACGUCUUCUUGGGUGUUGAGAAUGAUUGAGUGUCUGAAUGACUGUGUGGGAAUUGCUGAAUCCGUCAAUGAAGUAAUACACGUGAAGGAGGCACAGAGACCCCGUCACGGACCAGUGAUGAGGCGCGUGACGGGAAGAGUCCUGAAGGAAGAAAGCAUCUCUGAAACUCUGAGGUCUGUCCCAGCACCUAAGGAGUCUCCUCUCUUGGGGGAAAUUGUGUCUGUAGAGAGAUGCCAGGGGUAUACAAAGGUCAUGUGUUCUCGUAUUUAUUUCUUUGUCGUGGGUUUGUUAGGAAUGGCUGCGUGCCAGAAUCAUUAAGCAAAUAUUAGUAAGUGUAUACGGAAAAAAUAUGUUCGUGCAUUGUAGAAGUAGCAAUUGUCUUGGGAGUUAAUAGAUACUGUGCAUAAACAUUGAAAACCUUGAUUCUGUGAAAUAAAUUGGAACGGGUCACCUCUUUGUUCA
Molecule: long non-coding RNA, 1789 nt
Filed under: Sus scrofa (pig)
Lineage: Eukaryota; Metazoa; Chordata; Mammalia; Artiodactyla; Suidae
Description: lncRNA (ENSSSCG00070010641.1)
Source: RNAcentral